This is a long non-coding RNA of Microcebus murinus (gray mouse lemur), 1964 nucleotides long. RefSeq lists it as uncharacterized. The record is from RefSeq and is a predicted model, not a curated record. Lineage: Eukaryota; Metazoa; Chordata; Mammalia; Primates; Cheirogaleidae.
AAAGAACUGCCAGAUAGUUUUAGUCACUUUAUGAAGAUUCCUGGACUUCAGCUGGAGGGAAACUGAGACUUGGCUAGCUUGGCAAGAGGUCCAAGUACCCCUUAAAGACUUGGGGGCCCCCAAUCAAACUUUUUGUUUAGAGGAGUCAGUGCCACAAAAUGCUUUGAAAUUCCCUCUUCCUGCCCCCAUCAGCACCCAAAAGAGGGAGGAGCCAGAGAUCUUUGGAGACGGAAAGUCUUUCAGGCUCUCAGGGGGCUCCCCUUGGGACCCUGUCUCCCACCCCCUGCCUUGCCAUUGGUUAGGUUCCAAUGUUGUUCCUAAAAAAUCCUAGGAUGGCAAGAGCUCCUUCCUUCUAGAGCCCACUGGAAAACAGAAUUGUUCACCUUGACCCAGAGGGGCAUCUUUGAGGGGCUUUGAGCAGGGGCCAGCCUUGCUGAGGGAAUCCUGAAUGAGGAGCAGGUGGAGAGAAAAAGGAGGCCCUUCUUAACUGAGGAAGGCAGGCUGGAAGGGAGGGGCUGGGGAUAAUUUAUGAUAUCAUUGUUCCCCCGCCCCACUUUCCCAGCCACCACCCCUCUUCCCAGCCCCCUGCUACUGUACGGUUGCUAGGAGAGCCUGGCUCUGUCUGGGCUGGGAGGGGGGAACAGGCGGGAGACUGUUCCAUCUGGACUCCUCCUCCCCCACCCAGGGCCCUGCACUGAGCCACAUCCACCACCUCUUCCCAGGCCCCAGCGCACACCAGUCUCUUCUAUUCCCCCAAAUCUAGCCAGUGUAGGGGUAGUAGGGCUCCCAGGCAGCUGGGGCAAGGAACAGGAAGAGAGCAUGGAAGGACAGGGGCUGAGACUUGAAGGGGACACUGAGGAAUAGCUGGGCCACUGAGACCUGGGAGCCAGCCCACGCUGGGAAGAGGGCCAGAGGGAGUCAGGCCUGGUGGAGCCCAGGUUUGGGGGGGGGGGAGUCAGAGUCCUUACCUUUGAGGGGAUCCAAUAUGGAGGGCAAGGCAGAGCUCCUAUGCCCACCCCUCCACACUGUCGAGGUCAGGCUAAGAGACUUGGCAAAGGCAGGAGGAGGAGGAGCUGGGGCAGGGAGGAGGGAGGUAAGUCUGAGAAGGCUGAGGAGAGACUAAGAAGAAGGAAGGUGACACUGAUCACUCAGUGGGGAAGGGCAAUGCAGGGAUGUGGCUGGCAUCCUUUCCUCUUCUGGAAAUUUUCUUCUCAGUUUUAAGGCUCUUGGAGAAGUAGGGCGAGGUGAACGCUGGGGGCAUCCAAAGCUGCUGGCUCCUAGCUCUGGAAGGGCAGGGACGGAGCACCGUACCCACAGCUGAUUCGUACCAUUUGUUUGGACAAGUCCUUUCUUAGCUAUUAUCUCAGUUAAUUUUCCCAACAGCUCAGAAAACUGGGCAAUACUAUCCCCCCUUUACAGAAGAUGAAUCAAAGCCUCAAGGAGGCUUUCCCAGACUCACACACAGUUGGAGGGACUGAGCGAGGAGAGGACCAGGCAGGCAGGUGGCAAUGUCCACAGUGUCUCAGGAGCAGGGGGAAGUCUGCAGGAUGCUGAAACAGUCCUUGCAGGUUGAAGACAGGACUGGAGAAGAGGUCACAGGAGCUGUGGAAGUCACCAGAAUCCACCCAGACCAAAAAGAACCUACUUCACCCACCUGGCCUGAAUUCCCUCUGAGAAGUCUUCCUGGAUUGACUGAAAGACGAGGCUAAGCUCUAGCAAGUUGAACUUGACCGGCUCCUCAAGAAGCUUUGAGAAGAAUGGAAGUGGGGAGGGCCCAGCCUCCAGCCCGGGCAGCCCGUUAUAGCUGGAGCCAUCUGCGAUGAGACUGUGGCCCAUGGCUCCCAGUCCACCAGCUGUCAAUCCCGGCCUAUCCUGGUUUAUCCUAUGUCAUAGGAGCUGUAAUACCCAUGUGCUCUGAGCUGGAAGUCCUAUCUCAUGCCUAAUAAAGACUCUUGAAUAUUUAA